CCUACGGGGGACAGCAGUAGGGAAUCUUCCACAAUGGGCGAAAGCCUGAUGGAGCAACGCCGCGUGGGUGAAGAAGGUCUUCGGAUCGUAAAACCCUGUUGUUAGAGAAGAAAGUGCGUGAGAGUAACUGUUCACGUUUCGACGGUAUCUAACCAGAAAGCCACGGCUACCUACGUGCCAGCAGCCGCGGUAAUUCGGAGGUGGCAAGCGUUAUCCGGAUUUAUUUGGCGUAAAGGGAACGCAGGCGGUCUUUUAAGUCUGAUGUGAAAGCCUUCGGCUUAACCGGAGUAGUGCAUUGGAAACUGGGGGACUUGAGUGCAGAAGAGGAGAGUGGAACUCGAUGUGUAGCGGUGAAAUGCGUAGAUAUAUGGAAGAAAACCAGUGGCGAAGGCAGCUCUCUGGUCUGUAACUGACGCUGAGGUUCGAAAGCGUGGGUAGCAAACAGGAUUAGAUACCCCUGUAGUC
This 465-nucleotide ribosomal RNA is filed under the name uncultured bacterium. RNAcentral describes it as "partial 16S ribosomal RNA". It matches the Rfam family "Bacterial small subunit ribosomal RNA", at positions 338 to 795 of the family's 1533-position model. The record is from RNAcentral.